AAAAUGAAUUAUUUUUUUUACCAAACCUUUUGAUGUGAAGUCACUGUUACUAAUGCCCUUCUGCCUCCUGCAGCUCCAGCCUAAAUGUGGGACAAGGAGUCACUGCAUCCAGCUGAACUGAAAGUGCUCACUAAUUAAGUGAGCCAAGGAGCCCUCCGCUCACGAGGAAUGGCUAGGUGAUAAUCACGUCUGCAUGCAAACGCUAAAUCCAACCUCUCCCCCCUCCCCGCCUCAGCCCCUCCUUGAAGUUAAAAACUUUUGGCUCAAGAAUGCGGUAGGGUUGUCCUCCUGCUACUCCCACUCCUCCUGCACCCCUUCCUCCGCCGCAAGGCCCUCCCCCUGCUCAAUUUGGAUUAGGCUGUACCUUUUCUUCUCUCCUUCAAGGGUGAGGGUUUUAUUCCCUUCUUUUCUGCCCAGAUCUCCACUAAACAAAGGAGCUCUGGGCACAUCACCAGUUCCAGGACGUAAAGAAAGAGAACGGCAGGAAGGCACCGCGGCAUUUAAGGGCUGCUGCCAAAAUCCAUCCUCCACCAAGGCAGCAGGGACCCUCCAGCUGGAAGAAGAUUUCGGGGCAGUCAGGAACCGUGGAAUCUGUGCCAUCAUGGGGGUAUUGUGGCUGGCCAGGUUCAUGCUGGGAUGUACAGCAGUUUUGUAUGUGGAACAAGCCCUGGGUCAAUAUGAAGGGGACAUGCAGACAGACAGAUUUGCAGGCUAUGAGGAAAGACAGCCAGCAAACAGAGUGAGAAGAAGAGGCCAAGACACUUUACGAGGACCCAAUGUCUGUGGCUCAAGGUUCCACUCCUACUGCUGCCCUGGCUGGAAAACGCUGCCUGGAGGGAACCAGUGCAUUGUCCCAAUUUGCAGGAAUUCUUGUGGUGAUGGAUUUUGUUCACGGCCAAACAUGUGUACGUGCUCCAAUGGACAACUCUCUCCCAACUGUGGCUCAGCUGGAGUCCAAACCUGCAAUGUGAGAUGCAUGAAUGGUGGAAGCUGCAAUGAGGAAUCUUGCCUCUGCCAGAAAGGUUACACCGGAACGUACUGUGGGCAGCCUGUCUGUGAAAAUGGCUGUCAGAAUGGAGGCCGUUGCAUUGGACCAAACCGUUGUGCUUGUGUUUAUGGAUUUACUGGCCCCCAGUGUGAGAGAGACUAUCGUACUGGUCCCUGCUUUAGCCAAGUGAAUAACCAGAUGUGUCAGGGCCAACUCAGUGGGAUCGUCUGUACCAAGACCAUGUGUUGUGCCACCAUUGGACGGGCCUGGGGUCACCCAUGUGAGAUGUGCCCUGCCCAGCCUCACCCUUGCCGACGAGGUUUCAUUCCCAACAUUCGUACUGGAGCCUGCCAAGAUGUGGAUGAAUGUCAAGCCAUUCCUGGACUCUGCCAGGGUGGUAACUGCAUCAACACAGUGGGUUCUUAUGAGUGCAAAUGCCCUGCAGGACACAAGCAGAGUGAGACCAGCCACAGAUGUGAAGAUGUGGAUGAGUGUGGCGCAAUCUCCAGCGUGUGUGAUGGUGGAGAGUGUACCAACACAGCAGGCAGCUACGUGUGCACGUGUCCACGUGGUUUCAUGACCAGCCAUGAUGGAUCCCGCUGCAUUGACCAACGGGUUGGGACAUGUUUCUCUGCUCUCAUUGGGGGCCGCUGUGCUGGGGACCUCCCUGGUCAAUACACCAAGAUGCAGUGCUGCUGUGACUCAGGGCGUUGCUGGGCCAUUGGUCAAACUCCAGAAAUGUGCCCUGUCCGGGGGUCCGAUGAGUACCGCAGGCUUUGCAUCGAAGGACUCCCAGUCGUGCCAGGGUUCCCUGGGAGCUUUCCAGGAAUUCCUGGAUUUGGGCCCAAUGGUGUCGGGCCAGGACUCAACGGGCCUGGAGGCAUCGGACCAAAUGGGGCAAAUGGACAAGGCGGAAUCCCAGGGCUGCCUGGAAUGGGCCCGGGAAGUUCAAGCAUUGGAACUGCGACUUUAAAUCAGACCAUUGACAUAUGCAAGCAUUUCACUAAUCUCUGCCUGAACGGGCGCUGUAUCCCCACCCCAUCCAGCUACCGCUGUGAGUGCAACAUGGGGUACAAGCAGGAUGUGCGCGGAGAGUGCAUUGAUGUUGAUGAGUGCUCCAGCAGCCCCUGCGUGCAUGGUGACUGUGUGAACACACCUGGCUCCUAUCACUGCAAGUGCCAUGAAGGCUUCCAGAGCACCCCAACAAAGCAGGCUUGCAUCGAUAUUGAUGAGUGCAUCAUGAAUGGAGUGAUGUGUAGGAACGGGCGCUGCGUUAAUACUGAUGGCAGCUUUCAGUGUAUCUGCAAUGCUGGCUUUGAAAUCACCCCUGAUGGCAAGAAUUGUGUUGAUCAUGAUGAAUGUGCCACGACCAACAUGUGCCUCAAUGGGAUGUGUAUCAACGAAGAUGGCAGCUUCAAAUGUAUCUGCAAGCCAGGUUUUGUGCUGGCUCCCAAUGGGCGCUACUGUGUUGACAUCGACGAGUGUGAGACACCAGGAAUUUGUAUGAAUGGCUGGUGCAUUAACACAGAGGGCUCCUUCCGAUGCGAAUGCCUUGGAGGCCUGGCUAUUGGGGUGGAUGGACGGGUCUGUGUGGACACCCACAUGCGCAGCACCUGUUACGGAGGCAUUAAAAAGGGCACAUGUGCCCGUCCCUUUCCAGGGGCAGUCACCAAGUCUGAGUGCUGCUGUGCUAACCCAGAUCAUGGCUUUGGAGAGCCCUGCCAACCCUGUCCUGCCAAAAACUCUGCUGAAUUCCAGGCACUCUGCAGCAGCGGCAUUGGAAUAACAGCUGAUGGCAGAGACAUCAAUGAAUGUGCCCUCAACCCUGACAUCUGCCCCAAUGGCAUGUGUGAGAACCUGCGGGGGAGCUACCGCUGCAUCUGCAACCUGGGCUACGAGUCCGAUCCCACGGGCAAGAACUGUGUGGAUGUUGAUGAAUGCACCGUCAACCGUUUGCUGUGUGACAAUGGGCUGUGCCGCAACACACCUGGCAGCUACACCUGCACCUGCCCCAAGGGCUUUGUCUUCAGGACUGAGACAGAUACCUGUGAAGAUAUCAAUGAGUGCACCUCUAACCCUUGUGUGAACGGUGUCUGCAGGAACAAUGCUGGCUCCUUUGCUUGUGAGUGCUCCCCAGGCAGCAAGCUGGACCCCAGUGGCACCAUCUGCGUGGACAGCAUGAAGGGGACGUGCUGGCUGAACAUCCAGGAUGGGCGUUGUGAGGUCAACAUCAAUGGGGCCACACUGAAAUCAGAGUGCUGUGCUACACUGGGAGCAGCGUGGGGAAGCCCCUGCGAGCGCUGUGAGAUUGAUACUGCCUGUCCCAGGGGCUAUGCCAGGAUGAAGGGGGUUACUUGUGAAGAUGUGAAUGAGUGUGAUGUCUUUCCUGGUGUCUGCCCAAAUGGCCGUUGUGUGAACACAGCUGGCUCCUUUCGGUGUGAGUGUCCUGAAGGACUGACCCUCGAUGGCACUGCUAGGACAUGUGUGGAUGUGCGCGUGGAACAGUGCUACAUGAAGUGGGAUGAAGAUGAGUGCACGGAGCCUCUGCCGGGCAAGUACCGGAUCGACAUGUGCUGCUGUUCUGUGGGCUCAGCCUGGGGCAUCGAUUGUGAAGAAUGCCCUAAGGUUGGCUCUAGCGAGUACAAGGCCAUCUGCCCAAGGGGACCCGGCUUUGCCAACCGAGGGGAUGUGCUUUCAGGCAGGCCCUUCUACAAAGAUGUGAAUGAAUGUAAAGUCUUCUCUGGCCUGUGCACUCAUGGGACCUGUCGAAACACCAUUGGCAGCUUCAGAUGUAUCUGUGGCAAUGGCUUUGCUCUGGAUGCUGAGGAAAGGAACUGCACAGAUAUCGACGAGUGUCGCAUCUCACCAGACCUGUGUGGUCAUGGCACCUGUGUCAACACGCCUGGCAGCUUUGAGUGUGAAUGCUUCGAAGGCUAUGAGAGCGGCUUCAUGAUGAUGAAGAACUGCAUGGAUAUCAAUGAGUGUGAGCGAGACCCACUGCUAUGCCGAGGUGGAAUCUGCAUGAACACAGAUGGCAGCUUUGAAUGCAUCUGCCCCCCUGGACAUGAGCUGACUUCUGAAGGGAACACUUGCAUAGAUAUCAAUGAAUGCUCCCUCAGUGACAACCUGUGUCGUAACGGACGCUGCGUCAACGUCAUUGGUACCUACCAGUGUGCGUGUGAUUCGGGCUUCCAGGCCACGCCAGACAGGCAGGGCUGUGUUGACAUUGAUGAGUGCACCAUAACCAAUGGUGGCUGUGACACACACUGCUCCAACUCAGAGGGCAGCUAUGAGUGCAGCUGCAGUGAAGGCUAUGCACUGAUGCCAGACAAGAGAUCAUGUGCAGAUAUUGAUGAAUGUGAGGAUAAUCCAGACAUCUGUGAUGGUGGGCAGUGCACGAACAUCCCUGGGGAGUAUCGCUGCCUCUGCUUUGAUGGCUUCAUGGCAUCACUGGACAUGAAGACUUGUAUUGAUGUGAAUGAAUGUGAUCUCAACCCUAACAUCUGCCUGCAUGGCGAGUGUGAAAACACGAAGGGCUCCUUCAUCUGUCACUGCCAGCUGGGCUAUUUCGUCAAGAAGGGAACCACAGGGUGCACAGACAUUGAUGAAUGUGAGAUUGGGGCUCACAACUGUGACAUGCACGCCUCCUGCAUCAACGUGCCUGGGAGCUUCAAGUGCAAGUGUCGCACAGGCUGGCUUGGAGAUGGGCUGAAGUGCAAUGACUUGGACGAGUGUGCAACAGAAGAGCACAAGUGCAACCUAAAUGCCAACUGCAUCAACACACCGGGCUCCUACCGCUGCGCCUGCCGAGAAGGCUUCAAUGGAGAUGGCUUUUCUUGCUCAGAUGUGGAUGAGUGUGCAGACAAUGUGAACCUGUGUGAGAAUGGACAGUGUCUCAAUGCACCUGGGGGUUACCGCUGCGAGUGUGAGAUGGGCUUCAAUCCCACAGAGGACAGCAAGGCCUGCCAGGACAUUGAUGAAUGCACCUUCCAGAAUAUCUGUGUCUUUGGGACCUGCCAGAACCUGCCUGGCAUGUUCCGUUGUGCCUGUGAUGAUGGCUAUGAACUGGACAGAAGUGGAGGCAACUGCACAGACAUCAAUGAAUGUGCAGACCCCGUGAACUGUAUCAACGGGCUGUGCGUCAACACUCCUGGCAGCUACCUGUGCAACUGUCCACAAGACUUUGAGUUGAACCCCACUGGUGUGGGCUGUGUGGAUACCCGUGUUGGGAACUGCUUCCUGGACACCCAGGAUCGUGGAGAUGGGGGGAUCUCCUGCAGUGCAGAAAUUGGAGUUGGUGUCACUCGGGCAUCCUGCUGCUGCUCACUGGGUCGUGCAUGGGGCAACCCCUGCGAGCUUUGUCCUCCAGCCAACACGACUGAGUACAAGACCCUGUGCCCUGGAGGAGAAGGUUUCCGGCCCAACCCCAUCACUGUCAUCCUGGAAGAUAUCGACGAAUGCCAGGAGCUGCCAGGUCUCUGCCAGGGUGGCAACUGUGUGAACACUUUUGGCAGCUUCCAGUGUGAGUGCCCCCUUGGCUACUACCUCAACGAGGACACACGCAUCUGUGAAGAUAUUGAUGAGUGCUCUGCUCACAUUGGGAUCUGCGGCCCUGGGACCUGUUACAACACCCUUGGCAACUACACCUGCGUGUGCCCCCCCGAGUACAUGCAAGUCAACGGAGGAAAUAACUGCAUGGACAUGAGGAAGAGCGUGUGCUAUCGCAACUACAAUGACACGUGUGAGAACGAGCUCUCCUUCAACAUGACUAAGAAGAUGUGCUGCUGCUCCUACAACAUUGGCAAAGCCUGGAACAAGCCAUGCGAGCCCUGCCCUACACCAGCCAGCCCUGAGUACCAGAUCCUGUGUGGGAACCAGGCCCCUGGCUUUAUCAUCGACAUCCACACAGGGAAGCCCAUUGAUAUUGAUGAGUGCAGCGAGAUCCCUGCUAUCUGUACCAAUGGUGUCUGCAUCAACCAAAUUGGCAGCUUCCGGUGUGAGUGCCCCAUUGGAUUCAGCUACAACAACAUACUGCUCAUCUGUGAAGACAUUGACGAAUGCAGCAGCGGAGAGAACCUCUGCCAGCGCAAUGCUGACUGCAUCAACAUCCCAGGCAGCUACAGGUGCGAAUGCUCGACUGGAUACAAGCUGUCACCUAGCGGAGCCUGCGUGGGUCGCAACGAAUGCCAGGAAAUCCCCAAUGUCUGCAGCCACGGGGACUGCGUUGACACUGAGGGCAGCUACAUCUGCAUCUGUCAUAACGGCUUCAAGGCCACCGGGGAGCAGACCAUGUGCAUGGAUAUUGAUGAAUGUGACCGACAGCCCUGUGGAAAUGGGACCUGCAAGAACACAGUUGGGUCCUACAACUGCCUCUGCUUCCCUGGCUUUGAGCUAACACACAAUAAUGACUGCAUGGACAUUGAUGAGUGCUCAUCCAUGGUGGGGCAGGUGUGUCGGAAUGGCCAGUGCAUCAACAGCAUCGGCUCCUUCCAGUGCCUGUGCCAAGAGGGCUAUGACCGAACUCCCGAUGGGAAGAACUGUGUAGACAUCAACGAGUGUGUGAGCCUGCCUGGGACCUGCUCCCCAGGCACUUGCCAGAACCUGGAGGGCUCCUUCCGCUGUAUUUGCCCCCCUGGGUACGAAGUGCAGAACGACAAUUGCAUUGAUAUCAAUGAAUGUGAAGAGGAGCCCAACAUCUGCCUCUUUGGGACCUGCACCAAUACUCCUGGCAGCUUCCAAUGUGUCUGCCCCCCAGGCUUUGUGCUGUCUGAUAAUGGCCGGCGGUGCUUUGAUACUCGCCAGAGCUUCUGCUUCACUCGCUUUGACAAUGGGAAGUGCUCUGUUCCCAAGGCCUUCAACACCACCAAGGCUCGGUGCUGCUGCAGCAAGAUGCCAGGAGAAGGCUGGGGAGACCCAUGUGAGCUGUGCCCGCAAGAAGGAAAUGUUGCCUUCCAAGAGUUGUGUCCAUAUGGCCAUGGAGCCAUCCCAGGUCCGGGUGACACCCGAGAAGAUGUGAAUGAAUGCUCAGAGAACCUGGGUGUCUGCAUCAACGGGGCCUGCAUUAAUACUGAUGGCUCCUUCCGCUGCGAGUGCCCUUUUGGGUACAACCUCGACUACACAGGAGUCAACUGUGUGGAUACAGAUGAAUGCUCCAUCGGCAACCCCUGUGGGAAUGGUACCUGCACAAAUGUGGUGGGAGGCUUCGAAUGUGCCUGUGAUGAGGGCUUUGAGCCAGGGCCUAUGAUGACAUGUGAAGAUAUUAAUGAGUGUGCAUCGAAUCCCCUGCUUUGUGCAUUCCGCUGCAUCAACACCUUUGGCUCCUAUGAGUGCACAUGUCCGUCUGGAUACGCACUCCGAGAUGACAGAAGAAUGUGCAGAGAUCUGGAUGAGUGUGCUGAGGGUCUGCACGACUGCGAGUCUCGAGGAAUGCUGUGCAAGAAUCUCAUUGGCACCUUCAUGUGUAUCUGCCCACCAGGAAUGCAGCGCAGACCUGAUGGAGAGGGCUGCACAGAUGAGAAUGAGUGUCGCACCAAGCCUGGAAUCUGCCCCAAUGGCCGCUGCAUCAACACGGUGGGAAGUUACCGCUGUGAUUGCAAUGAAGGUUUUGAAGUCAGUCCUUCUGGCACAGAGUGUAUUGACACCCGCCAGGGCUUCUGCUUCACUGAAGUACUGCAAACCAUGUGCCAGAUGUCUUCCACCAACCGCAACCUGGUCACCAAAUCUGAGUGCUGCUGCAACAGUGGGCGCAGCUGGGGUCCCCAGUGUGAGCUGUGCCCCCUUCUUGGAACCGCCCAGUACAAGAAAAUGUGUCCCCAUGGUCCAGGUUACUCCACUGAUGGAAGAGACAUCGACGAGUGCAAGGUACUGCCCAACCUCUGCAAGAACGGACAGUGCAUCAACAGCAUUGGCUCCUUCCGCUGCCACUGCAAGCUGGGCUACACAGCAGAUAUCACAGGCACAGCCUGUGUGGAUCUGGAUGAAUGCAACCAGUCCCCUAAACCAUGUAACUUCAUCUGCAAGAACACAGAGGGAAGCUACCAGUGCUCGUGCCCCCGAGGAUACGUUCUGCAAGAAGACGGGAAGAUUUGCAAAGACUUGGACGAAUGUUCCACCAAGCAGCACAACUGCCAGUUCCUGUGUGUGAACAUUAUUGGAGGAUUCAACUGCAAAUGCCCUCCAGGCUUCACUCAGCACCACUCAUCCUGCAUUGACAAUAAUGAGUGCACGGCUCAGCCCUCUUUGUGUGGAGCCAAAGGACAGUGUCUGAACACACCAGGCAGCUACAACUGUGAGUGUCAGAAGGGAUUCUCCCUGGACAGCUCUGGUGUCAACUGUGAAGAUGUGGAUGAGUGUGACGGAAACCACUGGUGCCAGCAUGGCUGCCAGAACGUGCUUGGAGGAUACCGAUGUGGCUGUCCGCAAGGCUACGUGCAGCAUUACCAGUGGAAUCAGUGUGUGGAUGAAAAUGAGUGCUCCAGCCCAACUGCCUGUGGCUCUGCCUCCUGCUACAACACUCUGGGAAGUUUCAAGUGUGUCUGUCCAUCUGGCUUUGACUUUGACCAGGCCUUCGGGGGAUGCCAGGAUGUGGAUGAAUGCUCAGCGGGCGGCAGCCCCUGUAGUUAUGGCUGCUCCAACACAGAUGGAGGUUACCUCUGCGGCUGUCCUGGAGGCUACUUCCGAGCAGGACAAGGACACUGUAUUUCUGGCUUGGGUUUUGGGAAAGGUUCCUACCUUCCUGCCCCUCAAGAAGAGGAUGAAGACAAUCUGCUCUCUCCUGAAACCUGCUAUGAGUGCAAGAUAAAUGGCUACCCCAAGAGAGGUCGACAGCGACGCAGUGUCAAUGGCACCGAGAGGCACAAGGAUCACACUGUGAAUUUGGCCAGCAUGGAUGUGGAGGCUCCUCUGUCCAUGAUGCUGAACCUCUCUGACCUGGCUCAUAAUGAGCACAUCCUGGAGCUUCUGCCAGCUGUGGAGCCGCUGGAGAACCGUGUGCGGUACCUCAUCUCCCAUGGCAAUGAGGAUGGCUACUUCCGCAUCCACCAAAAAGAGGGGCUCAGCUACCUGCACCUUGGCCGCAAGAAAAUAGUGCCCGGCACCUACCUGCUGGAAAUCAUGAGUGUGCCCCUGUACCGCAAGAGGGAACUGCAGAAACUAGAGGCCAAGAAUGACCUCAACUACUUAGCAGGGGAGCUGGGCCAAGCACUGAGGAUGAAGCUCCAGCUCCAGCUCUACUAACAGCAGUGAGACCCACCCACCCAACCAGCCGCCAGUACAGUCCUUAGCCUUGCCAUCCACACCUGGAAACAACUGCCUCUUCUUUUGCCACACCCCCUGCCACCACCUCCCCUACUGCACUGCACAGCUGAUGGGAAAUGUCCCCUGUGGGCUCAGCACUCACCUGGGCCACGCAGGGGUAUUCCAUUCCAUGGGGUGCUUGGCUCAAAACCAAGCCACACCACAAAAGAGCUCGUGCAAGCUUUGCCAAAGGUUUCCAGCUGUGUUAGGAGGGCGUCCUCCCAGUGCUCAGCUCCUUCUGUCUCCUUUAAACAAGGUGCUGUUGAUCUGAGCUGGCAGAAGCAGCACCACGGGAAGGCUCCAGCCCUUCACACUCACAGCCCAUACACCGCCCCACAUCGCAGUAAAUGGGAGGGGAUCUGGGGGCGGCUUUGGGAGGUGCUUCAAGGGUGUGAUGUCAGUGCCUUCCCCAACAGUUCUUUUUCCUUCUUCGAUUUUGCGUUGUCAUAAUGGUGCUGCACAAGAACCCUACCUACUCUGGCUCCUCUGUCUCUCUGUCCUCUCCAUGUCCUGUGGUCCUUUUGGGCUGCUCUGUCAAACUGAAAAGCUCGCUGGUUCCCUGGGGUCUGGAAGAGCAUCCAGCUGCAAUCUGAGGAGCCUCACAGCAAGGGCGGCUGACAAGGGACAGAGGUCUCUGGGAGUGUUCAGAAAUGAGAAAGAAGGAAUGGAAAACUGCUGAGAGUGUGCUCAUGUUCUCAUGUGAGGAGAAAAGUGAGAAUUAUGUCUGCUCUGAAGUGCGGAUCCGGUUGGAAAUUGCUUGAUUUCCUUCCUUUCCUCUGCUAUUUCUCCACCUUUUCCUAUGUGCAAACCACAUAUUGAUACAAAAACCUUACAUUAUUCUUAGGGAGUGUUACCUUGUUAGCAGCAGUGCUGACAGGAGCAGAGGUGGACCCACAGGAGCGGCAGAUGGCUGCUUGUGGGGACCAAAGAGAGCUCAGCCUGGGAAUGUCACACCAUUUGGGAUCACUACCAGCACACAGCUCAUUCUGGCUCUCAGUGGGGAAUUGUCCAUGGAAGGAAACUGCAUAACCGUGCCUACAAGGAGUACUGCAUGCAUUCUGACCACACUGCAGACCUGGAGUGCAUGUGGGAGGUUUCCCACUGCUUCAGAAGCAUUUGAGGUUCAUUGUUGACCAAACCCUGAUACUCUACUCUUCUUUUUUGUUGUUGUUUUGCUGAUGGCUGCCCACCUCCCACUCAGGCCUGGCUGUGCAGCCCGGGCUGCCUAACCCCUGCAGCUCUGGGUCCAUGUGUCUGAGCCCUCACGCUGCCCAGUGCACAGUGCUCAGCACUUUUGCUGAAGCUCUGACGAUGUGACUGCUGUGAUGUGACAUGCCACAGUUUGGAGAUCUUCAUAGAGAAACUUAGACCCCCCAUUAAUCUGCUCGGCCUGAUUGCUUCUGUUUGGAAACCCCAAUGUGAGCAUGCCAGCCCCAGCCUGCAGCUCGUCCUAGCACCCAGCUCAUGUCCCUGCCCACGUCAUCCCGCACAGCCACAGGGAACAGAGCAAGGAACCACGGGGGUGGCGAUGCCAAGCAGUCUUAGAAUGAAGUUUGGAAGAGAAACCUGGCAGGGUGCAUUUGGGCCACAUUGCCUUCCACAAAGAGCAAAACCCAGACAUGAGACAGAUAGGUCCCAGCUCCAGCUGGGAGCAAGCUCUGGUUUUCCCACUGAACAGCAAAGUGUGUUCCCACAGACAUCUCCAUCACUAAAGCUGUGACAGCCUGAGGCAUUUAGGGGCUUGUUGCUUGCUGUUUCCACCUUUGUCAGGCAGUUUUCCUACAUCAGUGGUAUUGAGAAAUGGGAACCUUUGGGUUUUGUCACUCAUCACUGGCACUGGGUACUGUUAUCAGAUGGGUGGAAGCCCCAGUGUGCUGCUGGAUGGUCAGCAGCAUUGAGCAUGGCACUUCUCGUGCUGUGUGGUACAACAUUCCCUACCUCUUAGCAGGACAGCUUUACUCCUGGGGUUCCUGGCCAAGUGAGACUUGCUCUUGAUAGUGAUGGAGAAAUUGCUGCUGUACUUCUCUGUCCUUACUAUCACCUCACACUGACCCAAGUCUCCCUUGCUACAGCUGAAACCCCAAACAUUUGUCCUGCUCACCACGGAGGGGACAUAGAGGAGAAUCCAUGACCACACAUGUGCGUACCCCAGCCUUUCAGAUAUUUAAACAAUAUGUCACAAGUUUCCCCUCAUAUUGCCCCACACUAAGUUACCCCUUCCAGCAGCCUUCCUCUUGGAUCACAGUUCUCUCAUUGUGCUGCCUUUGCUUAGAUGACAUUCCAGGCUCUAUCGUAUUUAUACUGAUAAAAAAUUGAAAGCUCGUCUCAUACAUCACUUCAUCCAACUUUAACUGCCAAAGGACAGAAGUGUGGUUAUGUUGGUGUAAUCACAGAACCAUAGUGCUGUCAGUCAAGUACAAACUAAACUCUGUACAAGUCUUUGUAUGUGCAUCCUUAGAUAUAGUAAACAUGUACUUUU
Molecule: RNA transcript, 11762 nt
Organism: Numida meleagris (helmeted guineafowl)
Lineage: Eukaryota; Metazoa; Chordata; Aves; Galliformes; Numididae
Gene name: fibrillin-2-like
Exons: 66
Source: RefSeq, a predicted model, not a curated record